Molecule: ribosomal RNA, 421 nt
Filed under: uncultured bacterium
Lineage: Bacteria
Description: partial 16S ribosomal RNA
Rfam family: Bacterial small subunit ribosomal RNA
Source: RNAcentral
UAUUAGUCCAUGAGCGAAAGCGUGAUCCAGUUAUGCCGCGUGUGUGAAUAUGGCCUUGGCAUUGUAAUGCUCAUUAAGUUUUGAGGAAGGACAGUAGGUUAAUACCUUGCUGUUCUGACGUUGCCGACUGAAUAAGACCCGUCUAACUUCGUGAUAGCUGCCGGGGUAAUACGAAGGGUGCAAGCGUUAAUAGGAAUUACUGGGCGUAAAGCGCGCGUAGGUGGUUUGUUAAGUUGGAAGUGAAAGCCCCGGGCUCAACCUGGGAACUGCUUUCAAAACUGGCAAGCUAGAGUAAGGCAGAGGGUGGUGGAAUUUCCUGUGUAGCGGUGAAAUGCGUAGAUAUAGGAAGGAACACCAGUGGCGAAGGCGACCACCUGGGCUAAUACUGACACAGAGGUGCGAAAGCGUGGGGAGCAAACAG